GGAGCACGGCCUUCUUAUCGUCAUAGAAGGCCUCCAGUGGAGAAUACUGGCCCGGACACUGCAACUGAUGUCUGCAAGGAAACAGCAACAGGAGGAGAAAAAAUUAGGAAGCUAUUUUUGGACCUUUUUGGCAGACAGGACGGCUGAAGAGAAACAGGAAGUGUUGGGAGGAGAGGGUAGGGGACGACAUGCAGCAAGGAGCUGAGGCCGGAUUCGAACCCUCGGCUGCUGCGCUGAGGACCAUUGCCUCCGUGCUGCCAUCAUAACCACCAGACUAUCGACGUCCCUGAAAUCUGUUUUAAUUCACUGUUCACAUUAGGGAUGUAAUGAUUCAUCACGAGGCAGUAAAAAAAUCGAUUCAAAGGUGUCAAGGUUCACAUCAGAAAAAAUGAAUCGCAAUACUUUUCUUAAACAGCCGAGGACGCUUUCUAUUUAUGCUUCCCUUGUUUGGCGUCCUACGUCACCCACAUCAGACAUGAGCGUCAGGAGAGGCAGUUGGUUGUAGCAAGCAGGCGUUGUCAUGGCAACUGCUGAGCAAGAUUUUGAAAUUAAGGACGCACCACUGUCUUUUAAAUCGGAGGUGUGGAAGCAUUUUGGCUUCCCCAAAGACAGAAAAUGAAAGAUGAGAAGAUAACAGACCAGACAAAAACUGUGUGCAGAUAUUACAAGAAGAUAGAGAACUACACAAACAGCACGACCAACAUGAUGCAGCAUUUAAUCUACACCACAACAACAAGCUCCAAUCACCUCCCCUUGUUGAGAGAAAGAAAACAUUAAAAGGCCAAAGCACACUGACAGCCCCGCUCGCCCAAUCGAGUGCAAGAGGCAACGAGAUUAUGAGGUGAUUUGGUGUUUUCAUGAAAAAAUGAAAGGAAUCUUUUUCAGUCACAAUCUUCAAAACAAUUAUCUUCAGACUCAUUUUGUAAAAUAAAUCGUGAGAGAAUCGUAUAGUGAACCCAAUAUCGAAUGGUGACUGAAUCGUUGCAUCCCGCGUUCACCGACAGUCGGUUUGUCAGCUCAGGAAGAAAGGUUUACUGCUGCUUAAUGAUUUGAGAAUUUGUUUAGUCGACCUUUGACAUUAGAAAUGUUUGACAGUCCCACUUGAACUGAACAAACUCAAAUCAUAGCAAAUAUCUCAUUAAUUAUACACUUCAAACCUCAUUCUUACCUGAGAAGUCCGGAUAAACAUCUUAUUUAAAAAAGCAAAUAAAAUAAGCACAUUAUUUGUUGUGAUCAGUAAAAAUAAUAUAUAUAUAUAUUUUUUACAUGUUUAAUGUCUUGAAAUGAGAUGUACAGUUGGGAAUGAGCUGCAACAUCUCAAACACAUAUUGAUCCUGCUUUGACUGAUGUUUUUUUUUUACUUUUUGAAGAUAAUGCAGGCCUUAUUUUUGCUUCUUGUAUGUUGAAUUAAGAUGUUUAUCCGGACUUAUCAGGCAGAUAAUAAGUGUGACGAGAAAGAAAUUGCAGUGUGGCCUUAAAGCAGACAUCCUCGGCCCUUCACAGUAACUUAAUUGAGCUCAUUAGACAGAUGAGACUGACAUUAAAAGAUAACAAGACUUCUUAGGAUGAUCUUCUCUGGAAAUUUUGUCUUUUCCAGAACCGAGAAUUUUAAUUGAAGGAGAUAAAAGAUUA
Labrus mixtus (cuckoo wrasse) is the source of this 1632-nucleotide long non-coding RNA. RefSeq lists it as uncharacterized. The transcript has 2 exons. NCBI's taxonomy places the organism in Eukaryota, Metazoa, Chordata, Actinopteri, Labriformes, Labridae. The record is from RefSeq and is a predicted model, not a curated record.